RNAcentral lists this long non-coding RNA (3101 nucleotides) under Mus musculus (house mouse). RNAcentral describes it as "long non-coding RNA chr10:123437499-123440600". The record is from RNAcentral. Lineage: Eukaryota; Metazoa; Chordata; Mammalia; Rodentia; Muridae.
ACACAAGGUUUUAUGCAUUGGUAGCAUGCUGGCAGAAUGCAGGUAAUAAAUGGUAGACACUUCUGUGUCAGCAGGAAGGAGGGACUUGUGGAUACCCAGUGAAUGUCAGGUAGUUUGGACCUUCUUUAUCCUUUGGGGUAGUUGUCCUGGCUGUUGUGGCAGAUGUCCCUUUUCCUGAUUAAUAAACAAAGUUGAUUUUACUCACAUUUGUUCUUGGCUCCUACCUCACAACAGGUGGCCAGUCAGGCUGCAGUCGACUCUGCAACUGCUGGCUGUCAGGAGCUUUGAGAGCCUUCUGUUACGAUUAAAGCACAGUUUAGAGGAAACUUAGGGUAAUUAGCUGAGCUUCUACGGUUUGCGCAAACUUACUUGUGAGCUAAGAUAGAGUCUGGUGACUCUGAAUAUAAUUUUUUCCCCUUCUGUGUUAACACACUUGGUUGCAGUGGACCAGAUUCAGCAACAUAACAAGCAUUUACUGGUGGGUAGCUAAGCAUUAUUCUACACGUGUCUGUUUUGAGUCUUAGGGAGAAUAGAAAUAUUAGUUUUCCAAAGUCUACUGGCUCUUACAUAGAUAUGAUCCAGAGGGUAAGGAACGAAAAGACGAUGGGACUUUUUUUGAAGGAGUCAAUGAAUUGCUACUGGUUUCGUUCAUGGUAGAUAGGCUAGCUCAUUGAGUACAGCUCAGUUUGACAAAGCAGAAACCAAGAAUGAAUCCAGAGAAGGCAAUAUGCCCACUUGCCUCAAAAACCUGGCAUUGUACUGAGUUCAAAGAACCUAACUCUUAUCACCACUGUCUUCCUUCACCAUAAGAUGGUCUUCUAGGACUUGAGUUCCACCUGACCCUGAAGCCUGCCAUCCCAGCAGGUGAUUUAAUGAGUAGCCUUCCAAAUCACAGAGAGGCUCACUGUACUUUGGCACAGGGACAGAGGCUAAGCUGGAGAAUAUAAGCCCAGGGAUUCUUAGCCUGUGUCAUCUCGGAGAUGCCCCUGCUCCUGUAGGCUGGUGGUGGAGCAGCCGUGAGCGUAUCCCUAAGUUCUACUGAGCCAUGAUGCAGGCCCCUGAGCUCUACAGAGACUGGGGUUAGAAGCUCUGCUCUAUCUUUCCUUGCCAGUGACAAAUGUGUAAAUUAUGAAACCCUUGUAGUCAUGUGUUUGUUCAUCUCCAAGAAGAAAAUUGCAUUUGCUACAUAUAGGUCAUAUACACAAAAAUAUACCUUGAAUAGGAGCUGUCAUAUGGCAAAGUGUCAUCCAUGCAUAUGUCUGUCUGUCUGACUGUCUCUGUCUCUGUCUCUGUCUCUGUCUGUCUGUCUGUCUCUCUCUCUGUGGUGCAUGUGUGUAUACAUACAUACAUACAUACAUAUAUAUACAUAUAUAUAUAUAAAAUAAAAUUUAAUGUCUAUAAUAUGGUACAACAGUAAUUUUCUAAGCAAAGGAAACAAUCAUUAUAUCGUUUUAGGAUACUUGUAUGAAAAUGACAUACAGAUAUAAAAAUAUUUUUUCAUAACCACAGCACAAAACUACCAUGAAUAUUUUCUUACUUUGCUUUGCUUGUUGUAAUAAAUUUUACUCUUUAAAAGUUUUAAUUUUGGGCUAGAGAGAGAGCUCAGCAGUUAAGAGUACUGGCUGCUGGGAUCCAAAUGCCGUUCCUUCUAGCUCCAAGGGAUGUGACAGCCUUUUCUGACCUUCUCCUCUACCCACAUACACUUUGCCAUAUGUUCUGUAGACAGACAGACAGAAACACACACACACACACACACACACACACACACACACAGUUAAAUACUGAUAAAAUAAAUUUUUAAAAAAUUAACUGUACACAACUUUUCCUCAGAAUAAUUUUUUUUCUAGUACCUUCUCUCUACUACCUUAGUGCUCUGUGAACAGCACUCAAAUUUAGUAAUCUUUAGUUUAUCAAUUGGCUGUUUAGUUUAUUAUUUAUUAAUUUAUUAUUUGUUUAAUCAUAAAUAUUAUUCUUGUAUUCCCUUUCUGAUUUCUAGGGCCAUGACAAAGAGCAACAUGCUGUAUGUUAAUUCUUUAUCUGUUCAUCGCACAAAUACAACUUGAAACAGUAACACUUAUGCAAAUCCUUCCUUCAGCCUAGGAAUUUUUAAUUUCCAUAUUUUAAAUUAGCCUGCUUUCAGUUCAAUGAUUUUGUUGAAUCUUAUAAAUAUGUGGCAGAUGCUCUUUAGCUAAAUUUAAACAUUAGGAAUAAUUAUUAUCAAAGCAGUGCCCUGUAUAGACCAUUCUGUGAACCAUAGGAGAGUCAUUAUUCAAAAAGAGAAGGAAUUUCUUGUGAAAAAAAAAAAAAAACCAUGUCUUUGAGCUAUAGAUUUUGAAAAGAAAGACCCUAAAAUUAUUAUGAAAUCAAAUAAGCUGGAACUAUAAUUUCCAGCUGUGUUCUGAUGUACCUCGUGCUGUUUGAUACUGCUACAUAAAUGAAGCCAUCACGGUCAAGCAUUUAAAUGCAAAUUUAUAGUUCUAAAUGUUCCUCUUUGUUGGUACUGCUCUGUUUAAGCCUGGAAUCCCCAUGGGAUUUAUCACAAUUUUGAGUAGCCUUUGAAAUGGAAACUUUUGAUGGAAACAGAAGAUAGAGAUGGUGUGAUUCAGGAAACUCAAGAAACAUAGACUCUUUCCCAGAUCCCAGUAACCAAAGCAAAGCCGGGCAGAAAUGAUCCUUCUCUUCCAGGUGACAGGAAUCAGAGGUCUCUGUAGGUCCAGACAGGACGUAUACGACCUGAAAGGUCAAGUUGGGCAGGAAGUGGAGAAAGAAAGUCAGACCAAUAAGUAGAUCGCCUAUCCUACUGAUAAGGGAUGUUUUCCCAAGAGGUUGGAAAGUCACGUGAGCAAGAAGCGAGCCCAUUUUUUGAGGGUUACCUUACUGUACCUUUUCCGGAGGACUGGUACAGGGCAGUAGGGCAGGUCCUGAAGACGUUUUCUGUAGCUUGCUGUCUUUCCUUGUCUGCAUCCGUAUAUCUGGUCAGGUAAAGCCUCUGAAACAGUGCGAGCAGAGCAAAUCACGUCAAUGAGAUCACACCAAGAAAAUCACAUCAAUGGGACACUUGGCAACGCCUUCUCUCAUAUACGUUUUCUCAAAGGCAUAGC